GUGUCAGCCGCCGCGGUAAUACAGAGGGUGCAAACGUUGCUCGGAAUCACUGGGCAUAAAGCGCAUGUAGGCGGUCUCCUAAGUCUGGUGUGAAAUCCCUCGGCUCAACCGGGGAACUGCAUUGGAUACUGGGAGGCUUGAGAGUUGUAGGGGUGGACGGAACUCCAGGUGGAGCGGUGAAAUGCGUAGAUAUCUGGAGGAACACCGGAGGCGAAAGCGGUCCACUGGGCAACUUCUGACGCUGAGAUGCGAAAGCUAGGGUAGCAAACGGGAUUAGAUACCCCUGUAGUCC
RNAcentral lists this ribosomal RNA (292 nucleotides) under uncultured bacterium. RNAcentral describes it as "partial 16S ribosomal RNA". It matches the Rfam family "Bacterial small subunit ribosomal RNA", at positions 505 to 796 of the family's 1533-position model. The record is from RNAcentral.